This 85-nucleotide transfer RNA is filed under the name Methanoculleus sp. RNAcentral describes it as "tRNA-Ser". It matches the Rfam family "tRNA". Rfam says of the family: Transfer RNA (tRNA) molecules are approximately 80 nucleotides in length. Their secondary structure includes four short double-helical elements and three loops (D, anti-codon, and T loops). Lineage: Archaea; Methanobacteriati; Methanobacteriota; Methanomicrobia; Methanomicrobiales; Methanomicrobiaceae. The record is from RNAcentral.
GCCGGGAUAGUCUAGUCUGGGAAGGCGGUGGCCUUGAAAGCCACUGGUGCUUGGCACCUCAGGAGUUCAAAUCUCCUUCCCGGCG